AGUAACUCAAAUUUCAUCUAAUUCUUUUAAUUUUGCCAAUCGAUAUUGUACGGACUCUUUAUCACUUAGUCAUUCAUCUAGUGUAAUUUCUAAAUUUUAGACUUCCAAUUCAAUUACUAAAAUUACUUAUUGCCCAAAAAUCAAUUUGAAUGAGGUAGAAUUGGUUAUCACUUUAUACGUUGUACGAUAUGUCCAUAAGGCUGCAAAUAAUUUGGUAUCCUAAUCUAUGCUUGCCUCGAAAAUAGUCUUAAUUAAUAUCUUGCAUAAAAUACCAUCG
RNAcentral lists this long non-coding RNA (277 nucleotides) under Physcomitrium patens. Its description in RNAcentral is "long non-coding RNA (PPAT_LNC014098)". The record is from RNAcentral. Lineage: Eukaryota; Viridiplantae; Streptophyta; Bryopsida; Funariales; Funariaceae.